GUCGCAUAUGUCAGUUGGAUUCUAUUUAAUUGUCAUGAAUGACACCAAUUCGUCAUCUACAUUGGUAACUAGUAUAUAAAUCAGAGAUACACGUCGUAAUGUAACCAAACAACAGUAAGUAAAUAUAUUGAGAUGCUAAAAUAUAAAGAAUAGAGAAAGAAUAAUGAGUAAAAUAAAUAAAAUCUAGGGAAAAGUGACAUACAAAUUUAAAGAAUACAGAAAUAAACAACACUCCCAAUCUAGACCCUCAUGGUAUACACGAGAAUCUGAAUGGAGACGCAUAAUAUAGAAUAAUAUAUAAGGACAGUAGAGAGUGAUGCAUUGCUAAAAAAAAAGAGAGAAAAAAAUAUUAUUGUUUAAGAAUACAGACACGAAUCAUCCCUGGGUGUUAAAACAGUAACGGAUUGCGAUGUUCUCAAAUUGGUGAUAAAUGCUAGACGUUUACAUGCGGAC
RNAcentral lists this long non-coding RNA (453 nucleotides) under Mytilus galloprovincialis (Mediterranean mussel). Lineage: Eukaryota; Metazoa; Mollusca; Bivalvia; Mytilida; Mytilidae. The record is from RNAcentral.